RNAcentral lists this ribosomal RNA (200 nucleotides) under uncultured bacterium. RNAcentral describes it as "partial 16S ribosomal RNA". It matches the Rfam family "Bacterial small subunit ribosomal RNA", at positions 30 to 230 of the family's 1533-position model. The record is from RNAcentral.
AUUGAACGCUGGCGGCAUGCCUUACACGUGCAAGUCGAACGGCAGCGCGGGGCAACCUGGCGGCGAGUGGCGAACGGGUGAGUAAUAUAUCGGAACGUACCCUGGAGUGGGGGAUAACGUAGCGAAAGUUACGCUAAUACCGCAUACGAUCUAAGGAUGAAAGUGGGGGAUUCGCAAGAACCUCAUGCUCCUGGAGCGGC